CUCGGGAGGCGCUCAGAUUAGAACCGCUGCUCCUCCACGUCGAGAGGAGUCAGCUGAGGUGGCUCGGGCAUCUGGUUAGGACGCCUUCUGGACGCCUCCCGUUAGAGGUGUUCCAGACAUGUCCCACCGGGAGGAGACCUCGUGGCCGGCCCAGGACCAGGUGGAGGGAUUAUAUCUGUAUAUCUGGGGUGAGGGCCGUCUGCGCUUCCCUCCUGAAGCUGCUGCCCCCACGACCCGGUCCCAGAUGAAGCGGAAGAAAACGCCAACGAAAUCCAGAAUUAUCAAGAGAGUCGACUUUCUGAAAGAAACGACACUGACUGUAGGUUUUCACGUGUGUGUUUGACCUUUCUGUCGCCGCCUCGGGCUCUCCUGAAACUAUGUCACCGAACUUUAACGGCACAAAAAUAAACUUAUUGGUAUGAAAUAAGAUAAAAGAAAUCAGCCGAGUGAGUUUCCUCCGUCUGAAGUCAUCAUCUGUGUAUUUUGCAGGAUCUCUCGUUUGCAGACACGACUCUGCUCCGUUAUUGAAAACACAUUUCUCUCAUUCGCCAGAGGACCUCUCCCCGCACAAAUAUGCCACUCUGGCUCUGCGCUGUGUUGUAUCACUAUUACAAAAUAUUUGCACAUGACCACAUCAGAACCGCUUUAAACGGACUCUCUCUGCUCUGCUCAGACACACGUGAAAUGACCUUCUCCACCACACACAGACCGGCCUGAGGGGAUCCCGCCUUCCUUCCUCCUUCCAUCCAGCUCGGGCCCACCCCGCGCCCGACUCCGGACAAGACACACCUGCUUCCACUCAGCUGCAGCCACUUUGAAGUGAACAUGUGGAGGUCUCCGUGCGCAGUGCCCACGGCUGCUCGGCCCUAAUUUCCCCACUGUAUACACAGAUUAUCUGUGCCUGGGUAAUGCAAACAGAGGGAUCAUCUAAAUGUAUGUGAACGCCCCUAAUGGCCCCCGCCAAUUGGUCCUGGAACAGCGCCGUUGGAUCUGGGAUGGCUGCAGUUAAGAUUUGCACCGCAGCUAUUCGUCAGAGGGAUUAUGAAGGUCUGCGGGGGUUGUUCCAUGUCUCAACAGUUAUUGGUGCAGGAGUCAGACCUACUUAUCAUGUGUAUAUUUCAUCCAUUUCUGCUGGAUUUGGACCGAACUGCCUCGACUUACUCAUAAGCUAAACAUGAAACUAUCCCAGCUCCUUGAGAGGUUUCGGGAUAUUUUUUUGCAAUCAGUGAAGAUUUCCUUGGAUGAACAGUUAAGACGGAGGUCUAUUCUUCUUGGCGCUGCUGUUGACAUUGCGAGGAUUAAGUUGAGGCACCGCAGCACCGCGAAUAUCAGCCGUAUGAGCUAUUAGAAGAAUUCACAUGUCAAGUCGUGUAUUAGAGCAGAAACCCAGAGAUAAACCGCCGAUAUGGAGAGUUUUUAUAAAGCAAUGCAAACAUGUCCGUUUAGUGAAUAAUCUAACUCUCACACAUUUAACCAAGAAGCCCCAAAUGUCACUCCGAAUGAACGACAACCACAACACAGUGUGGGCUGCAGUUAAUGAGUUUAGAAGAACGGCAGCAGCAUCUGUUACGAGCCGCUAUGAGUCAGACUGACAGGUACGGCCAGGAAAUCCGCACUCAUUGAAAACAAGCUGCUUCCCACAGAUGCUGCUGACAGAUGACAGUUGCUGGGCAUCGUCAAAGACUUGAAGAAGAAAAAGAGAGAGAGAGAGAGAGAGAGAGCUCCCACUUCGCACCUGAUAGAGCGCACAAAGGCUUUCAGGCAGCGGGCCCGGGGAUUCAGCUCGAGCCGCGGGGAGCCAGAGAAAGCCACCUGGAGGGACGGCGCAGCCAAAAGAACUCCUCAGUACACCAAACUUCAGCGUCAAAUCAGCCCACUCUCACUGCGACUCUGGAAAUUUGGCUUGAAACGGUGGAAACGCGUGUGAAAGGAAAGUUGAGAGUCUCGUUAGACAUCCUGAAAUGAAUGUUCAUAAUUCAUACAUUGACAAACGGAUCUGCACAGUGCAGCCUGACACGAGGAUGUUCGAGUCCUCUGAGUCAGCAGCAGAGGAGAGACAGACCCCCAUCCGUCUGAAAAUGAGUCUUUUCAAGUGGGAGAUAGAAGCUAGGAUGCACGUCUCUAAAAGACAGGAUUUGUGUUUGAAUGGGGCUCAUUUCUUUGGCUGUUUUAUCCACGCUUUAAAGGGAUAUUCUGGCGUAAAAUUAAUUUAGGGUUAAACACACCGUAACAUCGAGUUAGAACCCCCCUCCAGAGAUGAAUGUUACCGACCGCUUGCUUCUCUAGUUAUACCAACUUUAGUAACGACCGCAGGAUAGCAAUACAGAGAGCCACGCCCUCAACCAAAACGCCACUCUAUAGCCACAAAUAAUGCUCAGAACAGCACCUAACUUCAUCAACAGGACAUAUAGGGUCACAGCCGUAGUACUAGACACCAAACAUCUUUUUAACUUUGACUCAUUUCUUUAGCAAAGAGACUAAACACAACUCACCUACUCUCUUCCAGCAGCCGCUUGUUUGUAUUGAGACCUCAGGCCAGUCCAUUACGGACUACAGCGGGGUGACGCAGCUCAAGGAAGAACAUUUAUGAUCAUUUCUUUAUCAUUUCCUUGAAGUAAUAAUCACCAUAUUAAUCAUUUUACAGACGUGGUAGUUCUUCUGCCUUAGCGUCUCGGUCUGAUUGCAUUCCCAUAAAGAAAUGAUCAUAAAUGUUCUUCCUUGAGCUGCGGCACCCCGCUGUAGUCCGUAAUGGACUGGCCUGAGGUCUCACUACAAACAAGCGGCUGCUGGAAGCGAGUAGGUGAGUUGUGUUUAGUCUCUUUGCUAAAGAAUAGAGUCAGUGUUAGGUGCUGUUCUGAGCAUUAUUCGUGGCUAUAGAUUGACGUUUUGGUUGGCGUUUACGGUGUGUUUGACCAUAACUUAAUUUUACACUGUAAUAUCCCUUUAAGUCUUGAAGUUCCUGGAUGUUAAAAUAAAACACCUCUUAUUUUUUAUCGGCUCUCAUGAAGAUCCGAUGACUAGAUUCUGCGUCCAAAGAUCCCACCCUUCCUGCCUCACCCACCACCCUCUUCCUCUGGAGAAAUCCGUAUUUUCAGGGAUGUUCCCCUAAGAGGAUGACGAUCCUCCCAUGAUUCAUAUUCAUCAGCUAUCUCUGCUCUAUAAGAGGACAGAUCAGGAAUCAUCUGUAUGUUUUCUUUUUCUUUUUCUUUUCUUGUAAUUUACUGUAUAUAUUGAAUGGAUAUGACCAGAUCGAAAUAAACUUCAAACUUCAUGUGCAGCUGCAGCUCCAUCAGAAGCUGAUCUGUAAUGGGAAAAUAUACGAUUUACAUCUGGGAUGAGGAAAACUGCAGCUGAGCUCCAGCUCGUGUCUGGGACGGACUGCAGAGAUGAUGUCAGGUCCUGGGCAGCCUCCUGACAAAUUGCCGUCUUUGAUUUUAUUGGUGUUUGACCUUGAAACUGAUGUGGGAUCUCUUCUUAUUAUGAGAGGGCAUAGAUUAUGAGCCAAUGUGUUUUCAAUAGAGGCCAGAUCAAUCCGUGCGAGCUGCUUUACGAGCGUUUUGAAGUGGUUCUGCAGGGAGUGCCAUAAGUGAGAGGGACAGGGAUCGCCUUUCAAAAGGCCGUCUCCGGGGCAGACAGGGCAUCCUUAAAGUCAUUUACAAUACAUCCAACGCCGCAGUAUAAGAGGAUCUGAGCCAGACUGGCAGCCGUGGCUUAAAGCGCUCGGACUGUAUAAAGUCUCAAACUGGAAACAUCUCUCUUUCCAUCGUAAUAUUUGAUAUACGGUUCUGUAAAAACUGUAAAAGGAGUUAAAGGAGUCCUAACUGUGAGGUGGGAUCGUGAUAUCUGUCUAUUUUGGUAACCUUUGUCAGCGCAAAGACCGUAAAGAAAUCCCAUAAAAUAUCUGCAGAUUCAAUAACAAUCAAAGUCCAAAGAAAACCCACUUUAGAAAGUUUGAUUCGAGUUCUGUUUUAGCAGAAACUUUCCUGAAAUGUGGAGGCUGUGGAGUCAGCCGCUGCUCAGGGUUGCAGUUUCUCAGACAGCACAUCUCCAAACCCGACUCAAACACACUUCUUCUCCUCUCCAGCUUCCUUAUUCAUCCUCAAAGGCAAACAUACAAACACAACUUAUCCUUCAGAGCCGAUGUUUUGGCGUCUCUCUGACCCGUGUCACCAUCUAACAAACAAAUCAAUGGAUCAAGAGAGGAUCUGCUGGGAGCUCUGUGGAGAUAAACAAGGCCGGAGACCUUGGACCAGUCCUGCUGUCAGUCCUCUGCAAACACACAAAUAGACACAGACACAGACACACAACCAUCCGAAUGAAUAAUACAAAUGUUCUCACCUGAACAUCACCACAGUUUCAUUUUAGCUUAUCUCGCUCUCCUGAUGGUGUGUACUGUUUCUCUAUUUCACCUCGUUUGAGUUGACUGAAAUAAAGCGGCCGACUCUCCAGAGUAAUUACAGGUUUUCAUUCCUGCAUUAAGGCUGUUUAUCAGGCAGCAGCUCAGUGUUUUUUCAUGGUUAGGUCAACAGGAAACAGUCUUUCUUUAACAAACAAGAUCGUACACAGAGCCAGAAAGAGUCAGGAUGGAUCAGAGAAACAGAGCGUGUUAUUCAAGCAGACUUAAAUCUAUAUGGUACCUUCUACAGAGGUCGCCAUCUUGCUCCGCCAUGAUUCUACGGUAACAGACAAAUUUGCAACACACACAUGAUUGCGUUAAGUAAACAGCAGUGCAAAAGUUAGUGUUAAUAAGAGCGGUUUCUCUCCUGAGUCACAUGUUGGCGGUUCACGUUAAAGUUCAGGACCAGGCCAACAACUUGUAGAGUUAUUACUUUGUGCAUCAUGUUUCACCCACAAAAGGAUGUAAUGAUCUUAAAGACCCACUCUGAUGAAAAAAAACGUUUUCCUUGUUGUCUAAAUAUUGAUUUAUCUGAUGCUACAGGACAUAUCAUGAGAAAAAUAAGUGCAAUUCUGAGUAUUUGUGUUCAAAUCUCUGUGAAUCUCUGACAGACUCAAACAGCAGGUUCAGACAGUGAGAUUUCCUACAUCACAAAUCCAAGCUCCGCCUCCAGAGCCCUGCUAUGUGUGCUAUGCGGACGUGUGUGUGUUAGCAGAUUGCAAUGCUCACAGGAAAGCUAAUUAUGAUAUCAACUUUCAUCAUGUCCCUAAAGACAUUAAUGUGCAAAAGCUGAAUAGCUCCUAUGUUACCUGCUUCUUCUACUAUAAAUGCAAGCUAGCGUAAAGAGGAGUAUGCAGAGCAGCGCUGUCUCCGCCUACGACUCAGGGGCGAAUUGCUAAUGAGCUACUGGAGCUCUGCAGAAGAAAAGCCCCUGAAAAUGACACGGGUAAUGUGAUAUUGUCUUAAAAACUUAUAAUCACAAUUUAAAAACUGCCGAGAACACUUUAAGUGGUAAAAAAAAUAAAACAUGAUCAGAAUAGAAUAUUCCUUUAUUGUAGGAAUAUUCUAUUCUAUUCUAUUCUGAUCGUGUUUUAUCAGAGUGGGACUUUACAGUACACAAGUCUUGAGAAAUAAAGCUAGAACGUGCAGUUCUUCGAGUGUCCACUUGGGGCUCGCUCCAAGAGACCAAAAACAAGAACAUACUUACAGUGUUUAGCCAAGAUAGUUAGAGUUAGGGUUAAUUUCCCUCUUAACACACGCUGGGUUAGAGUGACAGUUUUUAUAUUAUCCAAUUUACUCCAGUUAUUGAAGUGAUUUUGGUCCUUUACUGACCAAAGCUGUAGCGACUCCAAAGACCAACCUUGUCGCUUGAGAGGAAAGUUGAGGGUCCGGUAUUUGUCCGACUCGCUAUCGCCUUCUACAUAGACAAGCAAGAGGCUGAUGAUGCACUUUAUGGUGUUUUUAAUGAAACAUCUGCUCAUGGUCACACAAACACAGGACUCCUACGGAUACACAGCAGGAACAAACAAAAGGCAAACCAAAGCCACUGCUCCCCUCUCUCCACCUGACACCACGUGACACCUACAGACGUAUUAUGUUACGGCUCCUACAAAGCGAUUUGGAAGAACAUUAUUCGGCGAUCUCUGCUGUCGUGAGUUAAAUUCAUGUUUGAUUUUUGUGCCCAUUAAAAAAAGGGUAAUACCCCUCAGAUUAGACCUUUGUAAACAUGAUAAUUCUGUGGUUAUUUCACACAAAGACGGAUGUGCACCUUAAUGAAAAAAUGACCAUGUAAGAAUGUGUUGAAUAAACAGCAGUAAUGUAGGUUUUGUGUGAUGUUGAUUUUCGCACGUUCCCACCUCUGAAUUCUUUCUUUUAUGAUGGAUUACAGCCUCACACAGCACAGCCCCAUCAGCAUACACAUGGGUUUGCCAUUUCCCUAAUCCAACUUAUAUCAAAAGGCACAAUUUAUUAUCCCUUCUCCCCCUGCACUCCCCUCCUCCCAUCUCUCUUUCUCCCAGGCUAUGAUGAGGUAUGGAGAAACAGAAAGGAUUAGGUUACCAGGAAAUUGAAAAGGUGCAGGAGCAGCCAGAGAUGUGAGAUUACUCUGCGUUAUAACACAUCGGCUGAUGAGGAUAACACGUGUGUGCUUAACACGCUGCAUGAGAGGGUCCGGCCUGCGGGGGAUAGUUGGAAUGAAGGUGGCGAUAGAGCGAGCGAUACCUGCAGAUAAAUUACAACACAGAGGGGAUUAUGUUUGUGUCUGUGUUUGUGGUUCAGACCUCGGGAAAGGUGCGGCGUUUGUUUCACUUACACAGUGUGCACAAGUUGAAAUCUCACACAGAUGGUCUCAUUUGGCCUUUAAGAAAAUCAUUAUAACCUCCUGUAAACUUCGCCGUUAGCAGGAGCCGCUGCCGCUGCCUAACGACGGUUCAUUUCUGCAGGGAAAUUUAAUGCAGGGAUGGAGAGAGCGAACCGUAAAUUAACACAGACUCCGGAGAGGAUACGUGCGUGUAGAUGUUACUCUUGUGUUUAUGAUUAUGUGUGUAAUAAGGCGGCAUUUGUAUGAAUAAAUCAGUGACGGCGAACAUAAUGUAGGUGCGUGUUCCUUGUUUGUUUCCGUUUGCGUGCACGAGUCUGUGUUUGAGGAACGACAGCAGGAGGUCUCUUAAGAUGCGCUCCCUGCUGCAAACCAACCUUGGGUUUCCUCUCAAAUGUAAUUACCACUCCAUAAUUAUUGACUAAUUACACUUUAUGGUGAAUGGAACUGCUUAUAAUAAUUUCUGUUAUCUCCACAUAGAAAAUUAAAUACAUCGAGUGCGUGUCGAUGCCAGAGAACAACAAUUCGGACCCAUAUUUUCAGAGGGAGGCGCUGCUUUCAGACAAUGAGGGCGACAUUAUGUGUGCAAUAAAUACAGUCAUUAACUCUGAUUCUCCUAUCGCCAUUAUCCUCGCCAUAAUGGUAUUCAAUGGACAAUGUCAAUGGAGGGCUCAAGGCGGUAAUUCACAUGUGACAAUAAUAAGUAUGCAGCGGGUAUGUGUCAUGACUUUAGCGUCCGCUGAGACAGAAAAUCAGAAAUGUGAAAUUUCACAUUGUGCUAAUUACACUCGCUGGCCUCUGCAGUCCACUGGAUAUAAUUAUAUCUUUGGGGAAACGUGUACGUAUUUGUUCGUAACCCUUUUUCAGACCGGUGCAGCACGCCUCAACAAAUAUCCAGCAGGACUUUAGGGAGUAACGGUUCAGGCGAAGGUGUAAUUAUGUCAGCAGCAGGACCAAAAUAAUAACAACACAAAAGAGAAAAAAAGAAACAGGUUGGAGGUGACAUACAGGUGAUCACGGACAAACAAUGUCUGUGAUCAAAGGGCUGAAUAUGAGCGUGAGCGUAUGCCGAGUUUUAUACACUGAACACGCCCCGGGGCCGCACACACACGUGCACACACACACACACACACACACACAUGCAGCUCCUAUCUGUCAAACUGGGAGCCGUGAAUCUGGGUCAAAUGAAACCUACUGCUUUAUGCAACAAUAACCUUGGCGGCUAAAACAUCAUUUAACGGCGUUCUGACCACAAUCCCCUGUAAGUCUUCAGUUUUCAACAUUAGGAGUGAGAAUCGAUAACUGGUUCUUUUUUAAAAGUGAUUCGAUUCCUAAGAAUUGUUGAUGAUUCUUCUUAUCGGUUCCUCUAAUGUCUCUGUGCAAGAAGUGUGUUUUGGUUCAGAACUUUCCAGAAUGGCGUCAAGCACUCCAGAGUUUGGUUGUAUUUCACGCGGAAAGAUGAUACCAGGGCGACUUGCAACACUUGCAAAGCAUUGAUUUUGUCGAACGGGGAAAAUACCUCCGAUAUGCCGAAACAUUUGUCCACCCAGCGUGCAGUUAAUUUAAAGUGUAAUGUGUUUGAUUCGCUACUUAGCGAAGGUGAGACUCCCACCGUGCAAUAGAUGACUAUAAGAUGUUGAGUUUUUUUUUAGACCUCAUUUCAACCGUCUAGAUUCUGUAUAUUUUUAGACAGAAUUUAGACUUUGCACUUUAACCCAAUAAUCGAUAACUAUUUUUUACAAAAAGCAACUGUGAGUUUCAUAACUGAUCUCCAAGUACUUAACCAAAAUCAUUUUGAGAGCUGUUGAUCAAAAUACAGUGGCAUAUAGAUACAGCCCAGAUUUAGACUUGGUCUAAACUUGGUCUGAAUUUAGAUGUCUCAAAAAACUUUCAUUUUGAGAUCUGUGGUAGUCUGAUUUCAGACCAGUCAUCUAGGCUACAUUUAGACGUUAAUUAGACCAAAAAAUGCUGGAGCAGAGCUAACAUCUCGGCAUCAUCAAGGCAACGUUUAACUCCUCCAGGUCCUAUCUGUUGUGUAGAUGUUAGCACCAUGUUAACUCCUUCUCACUAUAUAAAUCCUCUCCAUCUUCUUAAACUACAUCUAGAUGAGGAUGACUAACAGAGUCAUGCUAGCUCAGAGGCUGCACUGGUCAGCUAACCUUUAGCAACCCCUUUCAUCGAGGCGGGGAAAAGUAAAGUGACAGAUUUGUGGUCAAAUAGAAGGUCACAUAACAAAUUAUUAGUGCAUGGAUCUGUUAUCUCCUCUGUCCAAAGGUGACAAUAUUAAAGAGUUAAUGAGAACGAACCUAAUUGUAUUAUCAUAUUUCUCACUCAAUGAGAAUCAAUAAGCAGUAUCGAUAAUAGAAUCGUAAUCACUAAAUUCUUAACAAUUCCCAUCCCUCUUCAACACAGUGUCCCUCAAAGUCAUCCAUACUAGUACCAUGUAUAGUGAGCUGCUGGUUACUAACACAGAUUACAUUUCAGGCUGGGUGAACAUGAUGCCCUGUCACUGCGUCAGUUCAUGCAGAAACAUAAACAGAGGAAAUUCAAGUGAUCAGAGAGAUAUCAGCAAAUAUUUACAGGUAAUGAGGAAGAACUUCUGCAGGAGGAGACAGUCUGAAGAUCUGAGGAAACACCUGAAAGCUUUUACAUCUCUAAAUACGACCCUCGUGAUUUUUAAUCCCUCAUUUUUCUCCGUAUGACUCAACCUACUUUUCAUCUACAGGCUUAAUACAAACUGUCAUAUCUGAUUUUGUUUUAUCUUGUUUCUUCUCAUGUGAUUAUUAUCAGGCUCCUCUGGUUCAGUUUGACUAUCAGAUCAUAAAUUAUGUGUGAAGACGUCUGAACCGUGAAUAAAAAUGCUCCACCGCCAGAGAUAUGUGUUUAUUUAUUUAAAUGGAGGAGGGAAAACGAUCAAAUUUCAUUAUUAACAUCAUAAAUCUGAACUCAGAUCAGCUGCUGUCAUAUUGAGAGGGUGGCGUAACCUCACAUACAGAGUUUUAGGUCAUUAAAGGAUGGUCCAGAUCGUGUCCUAGGUUAAAGGGAUAUUCCAGCGUAAAAUUAAUUUAGGGUCAAACACAUCAUAACACCGAGUUAGACACCCCCGUCGAGAGAUGAAUGUUGCCGACCGCUUGCUUCUCUAGUUCACGCCAGAGUUCGCUCUAAGCCCAGUUAGUGACACUGACUCAUAACCUCGUGCAUUUGACUCUUAGACCCUGAGGGGCGUGACAAAGACCAAGCGUUCAGUAUCUCGGGAAUCGAACCGGGUUUUAAAUUCCUGCUCAUUUUCCGUCUCUGAUAAUAAUCUCUGCUCCUGCUCAGGGUAUAAAUAGCAUAUUACAUUACUUUCAUGAUGUCACCUCCUUUCCUUUAGAAAGUUGGAGGUCCUUGUUGGAGGUCACGCCGUUCCAUGAAUGAAGAUCUAAUGCAGCAGAAGCAGCGGUCCAAUUAAUGCUCAUUGGACUGGUAAUUAGUCUGAACGGUUUUUAAGAUGUUCUCUGAGUUAUAGGUUAUCAUUUGAUGCAUCUAUAAAAGUACAUUUUGCGUCAAGGCUGUGAAGUGUUUUGAGAUAAUUCUGAGAAGCUGCAUAUGCACAAACCAAAAGCUGGAAAAAUGGGGCGUCACCUGGGACUGCAGCGCUCUAACCUUCAGUCAGCAUGCAAAAUGUAAUUAGCGUGAUGAGUCCCUGAAGGAUCGUCUCAGUAUCCCUUCAUUUCCCUCGCCCUCUCCUCUGCUCUUAAUGCGGCGUCUGACUUCUUUUGGCGCUGAGACGACUGUUAACCUCAGCGGUGUUUUCAAUGUCAAAUACAUGUAUCAGCGGAUUAUUUAACAUCUUUAAAAUCAGAGAAACUAGCUGCCAUGCUCGGAGUGUGCUAUUAUUUUCAAUAAAGCGUCUUUUUUAGUGUUCCCUGGGUGAGAGACAGUCACCGAAGGGUUACACGGAGAAAGAUGUAUGAGUAAUCAGAACGGAUAUCCUCAGGUGAGAGGGGAUGGCAGUCCUUUGUGGAUGAAAAAGAGUCGGGGAUAUAAAAAGCAAGGCGAGAAAAUGAUAUUUUACAGCAGCUGUGAUGGAUCAGGAGCGUUAAAGGAGGUUUUAUGCUGGUAUCAGUGUGCAGAGGGCCGAUUUAACAGAAGAGUGCUGUGAUUUUCAGAUGGAGGACGACGCGUACACAGGCAGGGAACAUAGAAACAAAGUUAGACCGUCAAAUUCACAAAGUAAUUCAGCUGGUUUGAAGAAACUCCAACCAAAACACCAAAAACUAACACUGAAAAAAACAGCUUUGGCUUUCACAAUCAUUGGACUUACAGAGAGGACAACAAAUCACGUUUGGAGUCUUUUGCACCGAUGCAUGAAGGAAACAACAUGACAAACUACUUAAAAAGUCAAAUUGAAGUUUGGGGUCAUCGGCGUCUUCUCACAUAAAAAAUCUCAGAAAAACUCUUGAUGAUGACCUGUUUCCUAAAAUAAAAAUCCACACCUGUAUCAUAUCAUGUGCAGCAUAACCUGAAGUGUGAACGUAGAGUAAGGCAUAUUUUAGCAGAGAAAAGAAAAAGCACUUCGAUCAGAUUGGAGUUUUUCUGCAGAUGUACUCUCUGUUUUCAAAAGCAGGACUUUAUUUUCCCCCUGCACAUUUAAAUAUUCGUGCAACUUAAUGACGGCGUGUAUAUAUCUUUCUACUUGAGUAAUUUAUCGCCAUGGAAACCGAGAAGCUCCUGGAUGGUGGAGAAUAAUCAAGCAGAGACAGAGAGAGCAGAUAUGAUCAGUUUGAUGGAUGGUCAGUCCAGUCUAAGUGCUCCGUGGAUGUUGUGUUGUGGUUACGCCCUCAUUGUUUCAGGCAGCGGGUUCAAACAAUGGCGGCCCGUUCACCCCGGAGGAAAAGCACACAUCAGAUCUGAAAAUAGGAGCAUGACUUCACCUCCUCAUCCUCCGCUCUCCUCGUUUAUAUCUCUGUCGGCACACGAGCGCAUUCAGACUCCUCAGAAGUUCUUUAAUUCGUCUCGUUUUCCAGCCUGUGUUCAGUAAACUCAUUAUUUCCACAGAAACAUCUCAGUGCUGCUGAAUAGAUCGCCCAGCUGGUGAUAAAAGCCGACCUUCAGCUCGACUUGAAACUGAGUGUCAGGUGUGGAGAUCUGAAUCCCGGCACUCUCGACAUCCAGAGCAGAGAAACUAACGCCAUGUAUUAUUCAUCCUCCACCUUGUGCGACUGUAUUCUUCAAAUAAGGUGGAGGAAACAAACUGGCACAGAUCACAGUGUGAGGGCUGAGCUUUGUCUGUCGUCUGACUGUGAGGGCUGUGAUCAUCUCCUGCAGAUCUGAGACGGUGUCGGUGUUUUAACAAGCACACAAACACAGACGGGAGGCAGAGGGGAGGAUUUAAACAUGUCAGACAUAUGAGUCUGUUUACAAUACAAACUAAUAAUGGAGCGCGUCUCUAUUACAGAGCUGCAUCAUGGGUUUGUGGAGAUGAGAACAGGUGGAACUGGGUGAUCAUUAGUGGGAGAGAAAGACCGAAACCAGUCUGAUUUCCAGAGUCCAUCUUCAGCGCUCACCCUGUUUAAAGUGAAGCUGGUGGAGUUUGGGACCUCCAGCAGCUAGAGGUCAGCACCUCCAAGUCUGAAAAAUGGAGGACUUCUUUCUUUUAGGGUGGGGAGCGAGGCCCGAUCCCAAACCGCCCCCUACAAACUCGCCCUUCACCACCGAGUGUCACUCAUAAUGAAGUUACAAUUGAAGCGGGAGGGUAUGAACAAGAAGGGCAAUUCACAAUUCAUUCAUCGCCAUAGCAACACAAAGACGCGUCCUGUGCAAGGCAGCGUUUAUUUGUUGAGUACAUAAAAAAAACCCUUAAGAAUGAAACCUAUCAACGAUUUGACCUGUUCCCUAGCGCCACCAAUAGGCCAAACUUUUAAAGUAGAAUUAAAGUUUCUGACAACCUUAAUGACCACAGGAGGAUGAACCCUACUGGUUUGGAUGAUGAUAUGACUCACGCUGAGGUAAAUGGUGAAGUAGUUUGAUAUGACCCUAACCCUAAAAACUCCCACUGAAGUCUCUAAACACUCUCAUCUCAUCGAUCUGCUCUUAUCAGGGAAAAGAAAAGACUGAAAAUAAUCCAAAGGUCAGAUUUAAAUCCAGGUUUGGUGUGAGAGCAUCAUGAAGUUUCAGCUGAAAUAAGAAGUUCCUCACACUGAGGGGUAAAACAGAGGUGAACUGUCUGUCAGAGACCAUCUAAAUAAAGACCAAACCCAUCAGACCGAUCCAGGGAAGUCACAUGGGCUGAACUCUGAUUGUAGAUAUAUGAUAUAUGUUCACGUUUGCUGGAAAAGCCGCCUGCGUAAAAACCUACAGACUCUGACAUGAACACCUCCAUGGUUUUAUUUGCGUUGAUGACCUCUGCUGCUCUGAUGUUUACUUUAGUAGCUUUGUACAGAAACUAAAGAAAGGGCAGCAGCUGUCUUUAACCUUUGACCUCUUCUUCUGUCUUCGUCUUCUCUGUGAAGAGCCUAAGUGGUCUCUCUUUUAUGCCGUUCAUCAGCAAAUACACACGUUUACUAAACACCAUAAAGAAGUCAAACAAGAAAUGUUAGAUUUAUAAAUAUGCAUUUGAAAAAAGGUCAUAAUGUUCAAGUAGGGCUGGGCGACAUGGGAAAAAGUUUAUCACGAUACAAUUUGAUUAUUUCAGUCGAUAUAUAUCAUGGUAUAAAAAUUGAAAUUUAACAGUGUUUAUUGGUCGCAUGUCUUUUUCAAAACAAUAAUCUCCUGCAUCUGUGAGGUCUUUGAGUCCCUUUUUUGUCGUAAGGCGUUGCUCUAGAGAAAGCAGAGUGGACUACUGCUACGACGCAGUUGUUCGAUACUUGGUUCUAAUUCAGAACAUGAUUGGUUCAGACCCGGAGAAACUCCCCUUUUCAUUGGCUAUUCGUGUAGUCGACCAAAACAUGGCAGAAUGGCGGUAAUCGAAAUAGGACAUUGACCCCGUUUGAUAUCGUUAUUGUUUUAUCACUCAGCCCUAUGUUCAAGUUUUAAAAAGUGUUCCUGUUUCCAUCCACCACCAUGAAGCAGCACCACCUUUUAAAUCUACACCGAUACACCGAUCAACAUGAGAUCUCCGUUUUUAUCAUCAGCUGGCGAGGAUCGUCCCCAAACCGUACUUUGACUGUAGUUUGAGUAACAGUUCAACUCUCCCCUCUGAAGAUCUGCAUCUUUCAUGAGAGCAGAUGGUUCUGAGGCUGGGAGCCACAGGCGGGGCGGAGUCGUUAUAAAAACUCCGAUGGGUGGACUGAGACGUUAUCGCUCACAGGAGUCACCGGGGACGUGGCGAGAUAAGAAAACUGGAUCACAACCAAUUAAGUGAUUUUUGCAAAACAAGCGUUGGUUUAAAGACACUGACUUUUAAAACAACAGGAAUUAAUUUACAGCUUCUGAUUGUGAGAGCCGAGGAGACUGAUGUAAAUGUGCAGAGAUCUGAUUCAUUAUAGAGCAGCAUUAGUUCUGCAGGUAUGCUUCUGUGGACAGAGUAAUUGCACAGUGAGCUUGUUGACUUUUGGACUCGACAUGAGGGAGCAUUUCCACUCACACAGACACACACACCUACUGUGUAGUACCCUGGGAUUGAUGACACUUUUAAUGAGAUUGAGAUCAAUCCAAGCAGCAUGCAUACCAAGUUAAUAUUGCACAUUAAACUGUAGGGGGCAGCACUAAAUCCAAACAAAUGAGUCCACAAACAACACGCCGAAUUUGAAGCUGUUUCUGCUCGGACUGUUUACUGCAAUAACUUCUUCACCUCCGAGUGAGACCAUCUGAUUUUCCUACCACCCUCGUGCCAAAGGCAUGUUGUCACAGCAGGUCUCCACUCUGAUUGGUCGCUGGGGGGCCCUGUGACCUAUCACCUGUGGUUUUCGUCAGGACUGGAUGCAAACAGCGGGGAGUGCGGAGGGGGAGAGGGGAAUCAUGCCUCUGCUGCCGGUGAAGGAGAUGUGAGUAAUGCCGUCUAAAAAAAGACAGGCGCACUUUGACGAGUAGAAAGAGAGAAAGAGGCAGAACUGAGAGGAAGAGAUAGAGGAUUUUCAGGAAAUAUCCGCCUGACAUGUGCAAUAACAGCGUUUACAUGACACUUGUUUUUACAGCCUACUUUAUCACCAAUGUAAUUCCCCCGCCAUGACGUGUCUGCCUAUUUUCCCUUGGCAGAGCACAUUUCCCAGUUAACAUGUCACUUUCCCCUACUAUAUCACACACACACACACACACACACACGCUCACACACGGGGGCAGGGAUUUGCAGAGGUUAUCUUAUCUGAUAUGCAAGCUGUGCAAGCAUUUAGGGUCAAUCCAGGUAACCCAAACCCUACAUACCAGCGCGCUCAUGUUCAUUUUUUGAGACAGAAACAAAUAGACAGAGCGUGUUUGUGCAUGAUAAUGCUGCGGAGCACAUGUAGCAUCCUUCCUCAAGUAUUUGUCUGCUCCUGAGUGUGUGAGUUCACUCAUUAAUACUCAGACUGGAGGAUGUAAAAGGAGCAUUAACAAGACACUCAUGGAGACUCAGGUUGGACUUUGCAGCAAUAGCUGUCAGCUCCCACAGGACUCCAAGACAAAAGGCUUGAGGAUUAGGUUAAUUUUUUUUUUUUUCAGUCUCUGUAAAGUUUGUUAUUGUUUUAUUAUUCUGUCUCCAACAUUCCCUAUAAUCCCCAUUAUCUUCUGAUUACCUCAUUUAAAAAGAAUUCUUGGGUUUUUCUCCUCCCUGUUUAACCUUGGUACCAGAACAAAACCAACAUCUGAACCUGUAAGUGUGUCAUGAAAACAGACCUGCGAGCAGACACCGGGGAGUCGCUGCACGGGAUUGUUGGACGGUGAAUUAUGAACUGAUUAGUUGAAACAGUGGGUGAUUUAUGGAUCUCACAUCCUAUGAUAAAACGGUCCUCCCCUCAGUUCUUGUUAAUCUGCUGUAAAUGUGUCAGAAUAAUAAUCUGCAUGAAGCCACGUCCUGAAACUCUGUUCAAACGUCUGAUUUUAAAGAGAUUUUUAAAAGUGAACGGAUUAAAGGACGACUUUAAACACUCAGAGUUAGUCGACUUGAGGUUAUCAGAGUGUGACAGGGGUUCAGGUACUUACACUUAAUUACACAGAAUCAAACCUCAAUCCAGAACAAUCAGAAUAUACGACUCUAUGAGUGAAAAAGGAGAUUUCUUCAAACUUUGGGGUGACUUUUUUCAAACAUUUGAUUAUUGUAGUUUCAGAUUUGUCCUCUAACCUUCAUGCACUGCUGCAGUUUUUAUCAACAUGUUGCUUACAUCUAAAUACCACGUAUGGAGCAACAUUUAACACAUUUGAGGGCUCGUUUCCAUUUGCAGUCAGAGAUAAUAAAAAGGAAACAAGCCCUUAAGAUAACUCUGGUGUGAUUACAGAUAUAUAUAUAUUUUUAAUUAUGAGACAUGAAACUGAAAAUUAAAUAAACAAGAUAAAAAAACAAACAAACAAACAUUUGAAACCCUCGCUAGGGUUUUUAAAAAUGGUUUCCACUGUCUUUGACUGCAUUUCUGUAAGUCUACAAUGUGCCAUUUAUAUGUAACUGUGUAUUACUGAUAAUUUAUCGGCAUGUGGAGUCACACAGGAUUAAAAACUAAGAUGUCCUCCCAAAUGUUAUGUAACAUUAUGGUGACCAUAUUCUGAAUCCCCAAAAAGAGGACAUGACUAGUCACGGAGUCAUGGAGUCAUGUGUAGAUGAUUUUGAGAGUUUUUCAGGUCGAAUCAAGUGUUUUUUUUACACGCUUUAAACUUCAGUUAGUCCACAUGACACAAACUCGAAACUUCCACACAAAACUCUGAACAUUUGAAGGAUUUUAUAAACUUCCCAAAAAAUGCUGGACAGUCCCCAAAAAGAGGACAUGUCCGGUUAAAAGAGGACGGAUGGUCACCCUAGUAACACAGGGCUUGAAGACCUCCAACACGGUGUCUAAACACAAAUGAUGCCUCUUUCACGUCGUAAUAGCACAGACUAUUAGCUACAAGAAUCAAAAACCAAUUUGUUUUACAAAAACAAGCCGUUCUUCGAGCUGGAUGAAUUAUACUGAUCUCUAUGUGCAGCCGGUAGCCGGGCGAGUGAGCAGGGACCGUCUGCAAAUUACGAUACGAGAGAAAGACGCUGCAAACAAAAAUCAAUAUCUCCGCUGUUUUAGAGUAGAGACUCCCAAAUCACCAAACACACCAAGAGACUCUUCAAACUACAACAGCUGUUUUGGGAAAAUGUGCCUUUUUAUAAUUUUGCUGAUUUUUUUUUAUCGUUUUAUCAUUUAUUAAUUCAAAGUGAGCAUUAGGUGAUGAUGAACCAUGAGCUGUUUAUGGCAGUUUCAAACUCGUCCAUUCAUGUAUUUUUCAUCUUAUUAUUCUCUGUCCUGAACACAGUAUGCCAAUCCCUCAUUGUGGCUUAAAACCAGGGCUCAGACUUGAAUCACAGACCAGGUUCAUGAGGAGGUUGCCCUCUCAUAAAUCUGUCGUCGCUGCGGCACACAGUAGAACCCGGCCGCUCUUUGCUGAUUUACACCCUGCGAGGAAUGAUAGGCAGGCGGUCGGGCCGACAGCCUCUGCUCCUCGUCUGGACGCCGAGCAGACAGACUCGGGUCUGAGUACGGAGGAGUGGGGAGGGAGGGAGGGGCUCAGAGGGGGCUCCACUUGAGACUGUCCAGGGUUGAAGGAAACACAAGCCAACAAAGCCCCCUUUACAGGACGAGGCAGUGAUGGAGAGCGAGGGGGGAAAGUAUGCAGCCGAUCCCUCUGCUGAGGACGAGCGCUGAGGGUUAGAGUGUGACGCUAAUGCUAACUGAACGGGUUAGAGGAGGACCAGUGUGUGUGUGUGUGUGUGUGUGCGUGUGUGUGUGAGUGUGUGUGUGUUACAGUGUGCAAAGGUGGGAGGUGUUAGAAUCUGUUUGGGUAGGUGGGAUUGCGUGUAUGUACAUGUGGGAUGGAGCGUAGGUGUUUGAGUGCGAACAUGUUGGGAUUUAACGUGUCAAACAUGUGUGUUCAUGGUGUGUAUUCAUGAGUGUGUACAUCAUCAGUGUGAGACUCCUCAUGUGUAAAAAUGCGCCGUGUGUCGGGCCGCUGCUCAUAUACAGCUGAUGCAUGCUGAUUUCACGUUUGCAUGUGAGUGUGGGUUAACAAGUGAAAGUGUGUAUCCUCAGGGGGGUGAUUGUGUGUAUGUGUGUGUGUGUGUGCCUGUUUAAUAUGUGCAGAGGGGGCGGCGCAGUCAUUACGCCGUUACCUCACUAUUCCCAACACAAAUUACAUUCAUUUGUGAUCUCAAUAAAUUGGUGUCAGAGUUCACGGCGUGUGUAUGCAGAGUGAUUACAAACCAUCAGACCUGUUUGGCUGCAUGUUUCUCACCAGAUCCUCAUUUUAAUUCUCAUUAGGCGUGAGCUUUACGUUUGAUAUGCAUGUCAAAUAUUUCCUAUGCAAGUAGAAGGUCGCUGUUGAGAAAAUGUCCUUGCAUGAGCAAAAUCGGAUCGUUUUUUUCCUUUAUAACUAAAUAAAUUAUCAGUUUGUGGCAUGUCCUCUGUAUCGCUGAGGAUGCAAUAAAACGGUGAGAAAUGUUCCUUAUGUGACUCAACGAUGGAGAAAACUGCAGGAAUCCUGCCGCACCCAUACUAUUGUCUACACUCUACAUUUUCUGUGUUUUAAUGACGUUAGGUCAACAAACUGAGGUAAUGCAAAACGGUAACUGUACGAAAGAGUGAAGGUCACGGCGGUAUCGUGCAGUGCGCCCUACAGUUUACUUGUAAUACUGUCCCUUUAAGAAAUUUGUCCUUCUUUCAUAGUGUAAAUACUUGUACAUUAUCUAUAUAUUUAUACUUAUUUUAUUUAUUUAUUUUCUUAUUUUUACUUAUUUUAUUUAUUUUCUAUAUUUUUACUUAUUUUAUUUACUUAUUUUCUAUAUUUUUACUUAUUUUAUUUAUUUAUUUUCUAUAUUUUUACUUAUUCUAUUUAUUUAUUUUCUAUAUUUUUACUUAUUUUAUUUAUUUAUUUUCUAUAUUUUUACUUAUUUUAUCUAUUAUUUAUCUCCUCCUUUACUGUUUUAAUGUUUACUUUAUUCGCAGUGAAGUACUGUAACCAAAGCAAACAGCUUCUUUAGGAUCGGUUUUCAAAUGAGCCUCCUUUCCAUGCAUCCCAACAAACAACUCUAAAACAUCUCCAGACCUGGAAGUUGUACCACUGUCAAUCACUGCCAGAAGUCCCGCCCCUUUUUAACUCUGAUUGGAAAGUCAUCCUGCAUAUUGAUAAAGAUAUUUUGCCCUUCAAUACAGUUGAAAAGUUAAUCCUCAUACAGCUGCGUCUGUGCAGGAGAAGGGUCACCAUAUGGUCCAGUCCAACCGUGCAGCUUUUGCAUGACUCUGACCCUGCAGUUUAUCAAUGACUGAGCUCUGCUGAGUGUCUCCAAACAGCUCCCAUCCCUGCAGACAAGGAGGUCAGUCCACCGCUCAGGGUCUAUGAACCGGGUUUGAGUCAUUUCUUUGUCAUGUUUGAUGAAAAAUCUAUCAAAAUAGAAAAAAAAAAAGAUUUAUUUCAGGAGGAUAAAAUACUUGAAGUUAUAAUGCUUAAAAUGUGUUAUCAAUUUACUCCGACAACGCACAGACAGGCGAUGAGGGUCAGUAUCCUGUUUAUCUCAGAAAAAGUGGAUUUUGAUGGAUUUUAAGUCUAUUUGCAAAAAGAUUUAACUUCUUAAAGUCCUCCAUCUGUGAGUGAAGACUUUGUGAAACUGAGAUUUUAUUGAAUUUACCGUCACCUCAAGUUAUUUACGCCUCAGGUACGACCAUCAUUGUGUCCAAAAUAAGCAGAUUUAUCCUUUUAAACUUUUUUAUCUCAUUUUUAAACAUUAGGAAUUGAUAUUUAUGAGCUCAGUAUGUCAAUAUAAAAAUCAGUUUUCUUCCAUGUGUGUUUCUGUGUCUUUGAAAAUCUCAGUCUGGAUGAACAAAGCUCUGACUCUCUGCUGGAGUUUCAUGUUCCUCCUACGGGGGGCGCUCUUGAGUCACAAUCAGAGAGAAAUGGAGUGAGGGGGAAUUUUCUCAAACAGAGGGAGAAAUAAAAAAUGCACUCACACACAGAGGCUUACACAAAGAGGGAGAGAGAGAGAGAGAGAGAAAGAGAGCCUCCCCUCCCCUCCUCUCCCCUCUCCUCCCAUCGCCCCCUCCCUCACUCUGUGUUCGUGCAGGCGGGCGGUGCGGUGCGGUGAGCUCCUCGCCGCGCUCUGCCUCUCUGUGAGGGGCGGCGUCACCGUGCAGCGCCCAGAUGUAUUGUUUGGAUGUGUGACUGUGCAGAGCUUUCCCAGGGUCUGUCCUGCCACUGUAUGGAGCCCUGCAUCGUGCCCCUUUCCUGUCAUUCACCGCGGGUUCCUUCCUCUGUCCAAACACCACCUACCCUCCUCCUCCUCCUCCUCCUCCUCCUGCCUCCAUCAGAAGAUUUAUACAUGUUUGAAAAUCAUUGUUCAGAUUUCUCCUAUAAUAUAAAACAGUCGUCAUGGUCAGGUUUAGGUAAUAAAACAACGCCGUUAAGUUUAUCAUCAUGAAAAAUACAAAUGAUUUUGCAUGUUUCCCUCCGCUCUGCUUCACACGCCACAAGCUUUAAAGGAACAGUCAGGAGUUUUUGGACCAGAGACUAAAACUGGUACUGAUGCCUAAGAGGCGGGUAAACCCUGGAGAGGUCACUAGUAAAUCUCAGGGCUGACAUAUAGAGACAAACAUUCAUUCAUUCAUUCAUUCAUUCAUUCAUGCACACAAUCACAGCUAUAAGCAAACAACCCGAUGCAUGCACCAGGACAUGCAAACCCGACAGCAUUAACCAUCGCAGUGCCAAGCAACCAACGCAAACCAAAAGUUGCUCACAGCAGUUUUAAAGGUGUUGUAGUCAGGAUCUGAGUUAGCUCCAGUUUUUAGGAGAAAUCUUGAAUGUAAACUCGACCCCUCCCAACCAGACGUGUCGGGGUAAAAGAGGACGUAUGGUCGCCCUACAUAAUGAAAGGUGAAUAUGACAUUUUAAUAGAACUGAUGUCAGCGAUACUAAUGAUGAUACUACUCGUCCCUCUAGUCCAGAUCCUCCUGUGAUGUUACUUUAGACGAAUACUAAAUGAAACCACGACACCGUCUCUGCACUAAAGCUCAUUUCUACCUCAGCAACUCCAAAAGGAAACUUUCAACAAGUCAAUUAUUGCCGCAGACGGCCCCUGAGGUUACAGAGCGGAAUACUGUCGGCUCAUCAGGAGGGAAAAUUAUCACCAAAAACUUCUUUGAGAAAAUAAAACCGGACAGUCCUGGGUAGGAAAAGUGUAACUGUUUGGCUAAAAGGGGCUGAAAUCUUUAAAAAAUUACUUCUCCUGCCCGUAAACUUAAACCUCUAAUCACAAUUAUCUGAAAUGUUUGAAACUGUAAGAAACAAACAGCAGCAGCAGACAGCAAACUGACCACGAGCCUUUUUGGGGAACAAAUCGGAGAAAUUUGCAGCGAAAGACCCCACGAUAUUUUUCUGCAAAAGUUCGUGGAGACCAAAAAACUUUCAACAAACAAGCAACCAAACUUCAGCUCAGAGAAGACGGUUACUGAGCUUACCUUUGAGACGAAGACUUCAGUUUGAUGAAGAUUCUUCGUCACAGAGAUCCUCCUUACAGAGACCAAAACCAGCCAUCUUAGAAACACUUCCUGUUUCAGGUAAGAUGGUGGACAUGGACAGGUCCACAACAUGAACAUAUAGACAACAGAAAUAAUACAACAAAACUAAAAUGACACACACACAUCAAACUGAUGAAUCCUGAAUGUUUACAAAAAUGAAAAGACAUAUCGGUAACAACAACAACAACAACAACAACAAUAAUAAUAAUAAUUAAGACAUUUUACACCCAAACUCAUCAGUUUGAUAACAUUUGGACCUGGACCCCCCUCUCCUGUCCUAAUGGUUUGUUCCUACAGGUCUAAAGCCAGUGAUUAGCCCCGCCUCACUUCCUUUGACUCCGCCCCCAGCUGUGGAAACAUACAGGAAGAGGUGAGUGCUCCUAUUUUCUGACCAAAGUUUGAAUUUCCUCGAUAAAUAACUGAAAAAGGAGCCGCAGAGAUGUGUUUAUUAAGCUUUAAGAAGCUCUGGAGAUGUUUCUCAGUUUGAGCCAAAAAAGAUUUGAAUCUUCAAACUUUAACAAACACGCAGACUUCUGCUGAAACUGUCGGCAGGCCUCUCAGUGACGGGCUAAAACACAAAUCCACCUCUCUGAUGGUCCGAGUUUAAAACUUUCUGUGAAAUAAAAAGUCAAAGAGGCCAGUGCUUCAUCUCUGUUUUAGGAUCUUUUAAUUUUGUCAGUUUCUGAAGCAAACCAAAAAAAGUGUACAUUGAAAAAAAAAGGGCUAAACAUACUCUAGGUCGGGAUAUCUGCAAUCUCGCUGUUUCUGAGGGGUUUAGUGAAACUUAUUAAUGCGUCCUCUGCAGGAAAAGAAGUAACAGUAUCCGUCUGCUUAAGUUAGACUGAUGUAGUUAGAAAAGAUAGUGAUUACAUGAAACUUGGUGCUGCAAAUCAAAUAGUUGAAGGUAAAUUAAUUUUGAUUUUAUCACCUUGACAACUUUACGACAACUGUGCAGAAGCUUCGAGGACCUCGGUUCCUCCACUUCUUUGAAGAUUUGACUAAAGGGAAGUGAAGUCGGUUUGUUAAUGUGAUUAAAUCUGUGAUAAAUACCAACAGACCGAUCGGUUUUAUUAAUCAUGUUUUUACUGCAGAAAUUGGCUGGAUAAAUGGAGGAAUUUUAGGAUCAAACAUCAAACUUAAUGAACAGAUGCUGCGCUCUUUUCUUACUUUAACUUUAUGAGUGAUUUGCCAAAAAUAUGAAAGAGUAAAUUUUACAUGAAGCAAACAGGAAACAAGAGGAAUUAGACUAAGAAGGGCGACUUUAAUUGAAGUGUUUAUUAACUUAUUAACUUACUUACUGAUAAGAGAUCAUGCACAUUAAUGAGGAUGGAUAUGUAAAUGUACCAGACUGUAUCUAAAAGCUCUUUUCUGUUGGUGGAGCCCCAGCAGGUCGGUGGUAAACAGAUCAUACAUUUUCGGACUAUAAGGUUAACUUAAAAUCCUUACAUUUUCUCAAAAAUUGACGGUGCGCUUUUUGUGUGAUUACUUGUGAUUACUGAACGAUUUUAUGUGGUAAAAUGUGCUCAGAAAUCUGUCGAAAUGUGUAAGUCAGACUUCGGUUAGCAACUCAAUGGAUGUUCGGAACAUUAUGGUACGCUGUGUCACCACCUGAUUGGCCCCUGACCAGGCCCGGAGUACGUGCUAGCAACAAUCAAUGCGCCAAUGCACCUUAUUUGUGAACAUAGACACGUUAAUUCACAGUGCGCUAUAUCGCCCUAAAAUUACGUAACAUAGAAACAGACAACAUAGAUGUGUAAAAAAUUAAAAAAUAUUUCAGUUAAAGUUAAAACGCAUCAUGUGUUUAAGUGCUGGCGUAUUGCACAUGAUGGUGUUAAUUGCACUUUUGUCCAUGCAGGUCUGUUCAUGUAAAGUGCAAGUAUAUUUGCAUAUAUCCUUUUUGCACAGCAUUAGCACAGAUGUGUUUGUGCAUGCAACGAUAGCAUAGGUAGAUAGUGAUACUGCAACAGAGCUGCAUAUGAUCAAAACUCUAGUUUUUUCUGAGAUAAGCCGUCAGAUGAUCCUUGACGGUUGUGAAUCUGGACACGUCUAAACUCUGGAGGCUGACGCAAACCAAACUGCUGAGUCAUCUUUAACAGAAAACUUAUCCUAUUGUGUGUCUGACAUUAACUCUACCAGUCGUGUGUGUGUGUGUUUAUAGGUUAAAAAUGUGUGUUGUCGAGUACACACACACACACACACACACACAGAUGUCACACAGAAUACAGAUGUAUCUUCAGCUAAGUAGUCCAGAGGGGCUGAGUGAAGACCCCGUUUCCUCCUACUGUAAUCCUACUGUAUGCACCCGCAGCACGGGCUCAAGGUGAAGAGUGAUGAGAGCGCGUCCUGCUGUGCAGCAAAGUGAAAAGCAAGAUAAGCAAAACAUGACCAAACUUUUUAAUUUGCUCCACAGGGUUUGGAGGCAAUUAGAAGAAACACUUGCUGAUAAAACAAAACGUCCGUGUUGCUCUCGGUGUCGGCGUGUAAAUUGAAGAUGGGAUGGAUGAGCUGAUGAGCCACAAACCAUCAGAGGUUCACUGAGUUUGAGUCAGGUAUAUUUCCUCACCUGGGUGUCUAUUACAGAGGUGAGGCAGCACAGAUCUUGUACUGAAGGGUUUUUCUAUUAUUGUAAACACGGACCACGAAUUCUUCCAUAACUCAGGAAACCGACAAAGAGGAACCGGUAACCACUUAUCUUAAAAACAACUUUACUAAAGCUGCUUAUGCUUGAAUGUUAUUAAAACUGUUUUAUCACUUUAAUGUGGUUUAGCUCAGUUGGAGACAAGGCCAACGCAGUCUCACUCAAAAACGUAAAAUACCCACGUUGGUCCACGGCGCAAAACGUAGCCAUUUAAAAAAAACGGCCCUUAAACUGUGGCAUGGGUACGUUUCGUCUGUCCAGUCUUUUCUGCAGGCAGACUUCUGCUCAGUUGACUACUGUGUUUUUCCCUGCGUUAACUAAAAACAUGGAGAACAUCCCCUCUAUUUUUGGUAAAAAUUGCUGUAUUUAAAGAUAUCUUGUGGCUUUAGCUUCCCUGUAAUAACUUUUCUAGCGACAAAUGUACACUUCGGUUUCACAGUAUGCAUUCGGUUCAUCUUAACGAUCCCCGUUUCUUCUUUAUUUUGUCGUACUUUCUUUCAGCUUUCUCAAUGAAAUUGUGACGAUAGUACAUUUUUGUUGUUACUACGAUGGUAGCUACGGACGCUAUCAGCGAUGAACCAGAAGGAAGUUGAUGUGCGUCAUGGACCGAGUUGCUCUUAAAACAUUUGUCAACCUUACAUUUGACCACAAAUACCUUUUUGUGCUAUAAAUAAUGUCACAAUAUCAGGUAUUCAUGACAGAAACCUUCCAAAAAGGGCCACAUGCCACAGUUUAAGGGCUGUUUUUGUGAAAUGGCUACGUUUUGCACAGUGGACCAACGUAUUUUACGUUUUUGAGUAAGACUGCGUUGACCAGGCGCCCCACAUACCGAGGCUCAUAAUUUAUCGGACGAUCUCUGAGGAAGUGCACAUUUUUGUUUGAGGAUUUUUCUUGGAAAAGCAGGUUGAUGCGUCGUUAAAGACAAUAGCGCCAGAUUCCAUUUAACCUCACAGAAAAACUGGAACUACUGGUCUACAUCUGUGUAGUUGUGUUUCUCGCUUAGUGAAAAACUUGACUAAAACUGACUACUGGCUGUUUGUGAAGCAUAUUGGAGAUGGUCGUCAUACUGGAAAUGCUGACUCAGCUUAAAUGUGUUUUUGUGGACAUGUUUCUAGUGUUUCUGCAGACAGCCUCAAGUGGACACUCAGGGAACUGCAGUUUUUAGCACGACUGCCUCUGCUUCAUUUCUUGUUCGUUAUUAAAUUAACCUUUUUCCCAGUGGACUCGGUUAAAUUCAUUAUAGUUGUUUAGUUUGUGACGCCUCUCUCUUAAGCUGUAAUCCUAUAGAAAUGUCAAAAACCCCUGAAUACUGCGUCUGUCGGGUUUAUUUGUCUUUGCGGUACAAAGACUUUCAGCAGGAAAGAUUAAGUCAGCGAACAAUACCAACAAUUGUACAGUUUUCUCACUUUAAAAAAAAAAAGGAUAUUGCUUUAAUGUUUGUUUUUUUGCUGCUUGUACCUAAACCAAACACUUACAGGACUGUUGCACUUUAAAGCCUCCUGGACACCAUUGUGUUUCAGAGAAAAUAAAUACCUCUCUAGUCCAGUUUGACUCAUGUAGGAGUUCUGAACUGAAAAACACCGACCGGCUCCAUAUCUGCUCCUGCACACUGAUAAGUCUGCACGUCUGGUUCGACGCUGCGCUCGCCAGGGUCGAGGUUAAACUCACUGCAGACUCCUGGGCAACAUGGAGACUUGUUUUUCCGACUCCAGACUCCUGGAGGUUUGAGCAGAGGUGGUUAUGAUGCAGCUGAGAAAAUAACCGACUCGUUUUAUAGCAGCUAAACGCAGAAACCACACCUCAUAAGGAAACCUAUCAAAAAUUAAAGCGUGCGCUCCCGGGCUGGAGAUGGAUUACAAACACAACUUUUAGUGUGAUUUACAGCGAGGUAACUUCUUUAGCCUCCAGCCAUUCCACUUUCUACUGAUAAUAAGCAGGCGAAAAAAACUUCCUGCCUCUAUUUAUACCUCAGUACCCCAGUAAAGCAAACAGAGGCGUUUGUUGUGGCGCUGGAAAUAGAGAGUAGCAUGCCUGUGUCUGGAGGAAAAAGCCCCUUCUCUCAGGAUACAGAGCCUCAGAUAGAGAGGGCAUUACAAUGAGCAGCGAAGGGCGUCUCUCUGCACACUUCCCCAAAGAUAGAGCGACGACUGCUUAUAAAUACAGCAUAGACUUUAAUUUGACCCUGAUGUAGGUUAGAGAUACAGCAGCAUGUCAACAACAACAAAUAUCCCACGAAUGUGUAAAUAAUUGAGGUGGAUUUUCAGACUUACAGGAGCGAGACUCCAGAGUGCAGCUUUUUAUCGAUCAUCUAAAGUUUGCUUUCACUCAUGCAGAUCCCGCUUUAGUGCACAGAUGACAGAGUAAACACCGUCAAAAGAGAAAAGAGGGAAUAAUCGAACGUAGCUUUAGUUAAAUAAUGAGCAGCAAAAUGCCGAUCCUCUCAAAGCGGCCGUUCUUCAGUUUUGGGUUGUUAACGCGUUUAAUUGGAGCAGUUAAGUUUAACAAGCCAAACAGUUGUGAGGCUACAAACAUGGUUAUUAGUUUAUAGGAAGAGGGAAAAAAUAAAACAAUUAGCGACAAUCCCCGAGUGUCAGAGCGAGGGUUUAGUUCAGAAAUAACAGCUGGGACUCAAAGUGGUUAAACCUUUAUCGGUGAAGUCAGGAGCGGGGACAUAUCAGAGUUUCAUGUUUGUUUAUAUGUCCUGAAAAAUUGAUCGUGUCAUGGCGAUGCUGCAGAAUCAAUAAAAGCAGGACAUUUUUACCAUAUAAGGACUCACUUCCUCUUCCUCCACCUCGUCAUCUGAGUUUUUUGCUGGUGUAAUGGUUUCGUACUGCUGCGUCAUCAUAAACCUCAUAAAAAAACUCCUAAAUUUAACCCCCGGUCCAGUUUCCCUCUCUCUCUCUCUCUCUCUCUCUCUCUGUGUUGCAGUUUCUCUCGUUAGACCAUAAACGCAUCACCCAGGGUCCACUUAACAACCUGCAUCCUCUCCCAUGUCUGCAUGUUGUGUAUCGACUGUUUUAAAGCUUUAAUUAGUCAUUUUCCACCAGCCUGUUGUCUGCUCUAACUUAUGUAAAACAUAUUUUAAUCAAACCUGACCUUCUGGGUUUCUGCGUCUCGUCGGAUCAAACGCGGCAGAAUACAUUUAGGUUUAAAUAUCUGCGAGGAAAGAAGUCUUCAUUUGGUCUGUUGGAUGUUUAUGUCCUCCAAAAUACUCUUUCAUCAAUAAGUCGGUGUUGUUGCGGAGAACAGAGGCUUUUAUUUCAGUGUAUGUAAUAUUGACCUUGUGCUGAAUCAAAGCGGCAGCUUCUGCUGUGGAGUUCAAAUAGAAAAACUUCAAAUGAAGGAGCGAAUGUGGACGAGUUUCUGUCAUUUCCAGGAGUUCAUUUGUACAUAGGACCGCUAAAUUUAUACAAGCGAAAUACAUGAAGUAAAAUAAAAUAGAUUGGCAGUGUUUGAUACUCAUUAUUUAAUGUUAUUCAGAGACUGACUUGAACAUUUAAAGCAGCUUGGUAGAUAUCGGCAUCACCUCUCUGUGUUUUUAGGAUAGAACAUGAUGGUAAAAGAAGUCUUAGCUUAAUUAGCACAAUUCACACUGUGCCUAAAAUAACUUGUUUAAUUGCAUCUGUCCAUUGACUUCUUAUAAGUUUAAUAAAGUCCAGUGUGAACAGAAGAUUAGCCUUUUUCAUUAUAAUCAAAACUAAAGAGCUAUUAAAAGUUUCAGUGACUAAAGAGCCCAUCAGACCAAAGUCAUUGUUUGGGUUAGGGUGAACAUUUUUACAUGGGUGUCAACGGGGAUUCAUCUGCUUUUAGAGCCAACCCAAGUGGACACUGGCGGUACUGCAGUUUUUUUACACUCCCUCAUAGAUGUCACUUUUAAUCACUGGAAGAUGCAUUAAUUAAAGCUCAUAUCAAUCAGUAGGGAUCUGUUUCCAAAGAUUUUUCCACUUCUACAUCAGGAAACUCUCAAAAUGUUGCCAGUACUCUCUGCAGUGACUUUUGAGGCUGUUUUGUGGCUUUAAAUUAGCUUUUUUGGCAGGACAGGGUGAAAUGUGGGGAGAGCUAGAGAGGUAAGAGGACAUGCAGCACAUAGUCAGGGCUGGACUUGAACCCAUGACCGCUGUGAUGACCCCGGUCCCUAUGUAUUGGGCACACUAACCCGUUGGGCCGUCUGCACGCCUCCUCUUUAUCUGAACUUUUUAUGUAAAAACAAACACAUCAUGAUUUUUAUAAAAAUGUCAUUGACGUCCUUGUUUGUUGCAGGACUCUGACUCCUGUCUCCUGAUUGGACGUCCAACAUGAAUGGACUCACCUGUUUCCAACUCCACCUCAGGUAGGACCCUCAGAUUUACACGAUUAGUUGGUUCUAUUUGAAUUAUUGUAUCUUGAAUUAUUCUAAUAGCACAAGUAUGACGCGUUAGAACUCAGAGCUGCAGCCGCCUCCAAACAUACCUCAUAUUCAGGUCUGGUGUGCGUAGCGGCCCUCGGGGACUGUGUCCGGACAGCUCUUAUCAUUCAGUGCGGGCUGUGUGACAGGAUGCAGGUCGUGUGGGAGGACUUGUAACUCAUUUCCAGAUAAUGGCAGGGCUCUGUCUCCCCUUUCUCCAGCAGCAGGCCCAAUUCAGCGACUCAUCAAUCCGCCCGCAGACACACCACGCCCCCACUGCUCUCUCUUCACUUAUCACCCCAAAACUACCACCACGCACAAUGAAGACCCGCUCUAAUCUGUCCCAAUCCCCCACAAUGCCUUUCAUCCUCCGCAUCAGGUCCUUUUUUCUAUCUCUUAUUUUCCCUGUUUUUCUAAAGAACCUCCCUCAAUAACGGUUUUCGACAAAGGAGCAAACGUUUGGCUCCCCCGUUUCAUUUCCUGUUAGUUAUAUUUGAGAUGUGUGGCAAAUGUCUGGUAAUGAAUCCAGGAGUCGGUAUAUGGAGGAGGAGAAGGAGGAGGGAUGGACUGAGAGUGGUGAAGGCAAUUUGAUCUCCAUGGGUGGUCUGCCAUGUUUGAACCAACCCAGAGCUUAAUGAGGAACACUAACAGCCCUGUGGAUUACAGGAGGGGAAAACCAAACGAGAUUUUAGCCGUCCAGACCCGAACGGUCAUUAAACAUUGAGGUCACGUUUUUCCGUAUUUACACAGUCAAUGUCAGAGCAGGUGAAAGAUGAUUAGCUGGCUGUUUGACUCUCACCCUCUGCCAUCGAGAGCGUGUCAUGUCCACGCUCAGAGACCGGAGAAAUGAGAAAGUCAAGGCGAAGAUGGUAGUAACACGUGUUCAUGGAGGGAAAGAAUAGGGAGAUUUUUGAUUUUAAGACUUUCUAAAGUCUGAAUUAGACUAAAACUGAGUCUGAUUGGUUAUGAUUGAUGUUGUCUAAGAAUUUUAUCAAGUUUCUUUAUUUUUUCUGAUAAGUGGUGUAUUGUUGCAGGACUUGAACCAAAAUAUAAAUUAAAAGAAGACUCUUUAAAUAGCAGUGUUUGAAAAAAAUCACAUAUUUACUUUUCUAUUCCUUAAGAACUAAGAACAUAUUAUAUUAGAUUCAACUUUGUUGUCAUCACACUUGUUCAGAACAAUGCAGUUUAGCAUCCAACCAGAAGAGCAAUAGCGCCAAAAUCAGAUAUUUACAACAUUGAAAACUAUCUAUCUAUCUAUCUAUCUAUCUAUCUAUCUAUCUAUCUAUCUAUCUAUCUAUCUAUCUAUCUAUCUAUCUAUCUAUCUAUCUAUCUAUCUAUCUAUGAGUAUAUAUGUGUAUAUAUCUUGAUAUAUAAAUAUAUAUAUAAAUUUAUAUAUACAUAUAUAUGUAUGUAUAUAUAUAUAUAUGUAUGUAUAUAUAUGUAUGUAUGUAUAUAUAUGUAUGUAUAUAUAUAUGUAUGUAUGUAUAUAUGUAUGUAUGUAUAUAUAUGUAUGUAUGUAUGUAUGUAUAUAUGUAUGUAUGUAUAUAUAUGUAUGUAUGUAUGUAUAUAUAUGUAUGUAUGUAUGUAUGUAUAUAUGUAUGUAUGUAUGUAUAUAUGUAUAUAUUUAUGUAUAUAUAUGUAUAUAUAUAUAUAUAUAUGUAUGUAUAUAUAUGUAUGUAUAUGUGUGUGUAAAUAUAUAUGUGUAAUAUGUGCAUGUAUAUAUAUAUAUAUAUAUAUAUAUAUAUAUAUAUAUAGUUCUAUACCUAUAAAUAUAUAUAAAAUUAGAGAUGGUAUGAAGUUUCUAUUGUCAAUAUUUACAUUAAUUUCAUUAUAUAACAUUUAACCAAAUGCCAAAAGAAAAGCGUUCUUUAACGGGUGAAAGUUUUAGAGAGUGACUGCUCAGUGAAAGAAACCGUCUCUUCGCCUGCUGGUCCUGACCCGGAGGCUCCUGUAGCGGUGGUCAGAGGGCAGGAGGCUGUCAAUAAUUUGGCAGAAUUUUUAUGUCAUUUUAUAUAAAAUUUUAACCAUUUUUAGUCCCACAAAUUCGGUUUACACAGCAGAUGCUUUCAGUCCCCGCUCAUGCAGCCUCGGUCGCCCUGCAGAUCUCUUGGCGAGCGAGUAUGACGCCUCCAUUAGGGGGUAAUGUAACAGUGGGUCUACAGUUACAGUAAAGGCCAGCUGUGCUGCCACUUUGGGUUUUUAGCAGCACUGAGCAGACACCGUACUUUGAUUAUAGGUGUUUAUACUGGCCAUGUGAUCCAGCGCGACAAUAGACAUGAGUCUGACUCCAACCUGGAGCCAAACACACUAAUGAGGACCAGGCCGGAGCGGUCUGGGUCUCCUUUUUAACCCUGUGGACCCCAGUGGAGUAUCAGACCAGUACUUGAGGAUCACAGGAGUCCUCUGAGUGAGUCUGAUACCCGGUCUUCGCAGAAGUGAAGUGACCGCUGCGGUGAUCUAUACGCUGUCUCCGCCGCACUUCUUGACUAAUGCAAGUUCCACACUUUCGCCAAACUUUCGCCUUCCCUCUUCUCCAGGAUGGAUCUAAUUUUGCUGAGUCAUAGGUUUCCCCGCCAUCAUCCCUCACAGAGACCUCUUAAAAGCUAUUUGUCUGGCCCCCUCUUCCUUUCGACGUUCGUUUAGAGUACACAGGCCUGCCCCGAGAGGUGAGAUGCUGAUGAGGCGAAUAUAUUAUUAAAAACGCAUUAGACAUGGCUGCGAGGGAGAUAAUUUGUCCUGCAGCGAGCCCUGCAUCAGAUAUAGGGUUACCGCCGUUGGAUUUAUCACUGUGCUGGAGGAGGAAACUGAACCGGGGCGGAGUGAGUUUGUGCAGACUCGCAGACACAUUCCUGACCCUGGUUAUGACCCGCUUCGCUCUCCCCGUCAAUUUCAACCGUCCAAACAUCGUGUCUGCGCAGCUGUGGUUGAGCGGCGUGAGUUUGAUGUGAAGCCGGACAAUGAGAUGCUUGUUAAUUUUGCUCUGGUGCUCGAGUGGACAUUUGUGCUGGCGAGGUCCUGAGCUCAAAUAUCAUUGGUUGUGGAAACAUUCCUGGAGUGGAUGUGAGCGUAUUCCCCUCCGCUCACUCCUGUAAUUGAGAAGAAGCAGAUGUGAAAUAUCAGGUUUGUUUAGAUUGAAUAACACGUAGCAAAUUACCAGAUCUCCAAACGAUCAUUUUCAAAAGCCCCUCGAUUGAUGCUGUAACGUGAGUGGCUGCUAAUUCUUGACAUCACUUCCUGAUUACAUCACUGCUAACUGAAGCUUUCUUAUAUAAACAAAAGAGUCGCCGCGCUCUCUCUCUCUGGUGGCGCUGAACGAUCCAGUUACCGCCCAACCCUGAAAUAUUCUCCAGGGAUUGGAGAGUAUGUGACCCGGGGAGCGCUCGCUGUUUCAGGUAUCAUGAGGCUGAUUAACAGGGUCACUUUAGACCCUGUAGACCCCCACAGCGCCACAGUGGGUCACCUUUCAUUCUGACACACUUUUCAAAGAAACAUCAUCAAAUCUACAUCAACCCGUCACUGCGGGAGCACUAAAGCAGGUUCAAUCCUGACUGAUUAUGCGGUUUUAAAUUUUAAAGGUAGCGAGCAGGGCGGCGGUAAAAGAUCGUUCCAGGAAAAGCUGCACAUCUGCCUGGAAAAUACACGUUGCUGAAUUCCAUGAGAGUCUUGAAUGGUCAAAUAAAAACCUCUUGGAGCCCCCCAAAGAAGACCGUUUUUCACAUAGACAUAAUAAAGAGUAGCGCUGACGAGCCAUGGGGCCGCCAUCUUGGACCGGUCGUCCGCACCUUUCAGUGUAAAGACAGGACAUAGUACGGCAUAUUUAAGUAUUUAUUCAUAGUGGGAUUAACAGUUAAUUAAAAGAAUGUUCUGCUAUAUGAUAUAUGUGAUGUAUAGAGUAUCAAUAUGUUUCAUAGUAGAUACACAUACAUCUCACACAAGAAAUUGAAAAUACAUAUAAAUCAGAGUAUCAGUAUAAUCCAAUACAAAAAGCCUGAGAGACUCACCAGAACAUUCAGAACUGCAUGGAUUUAUAAUUGUUUAAAAUUGUAUGGUACUGACUGAUUAUGAAUUGUAAUAUUGUGAUAUGAAUUUUGUAAAGUCCUUGGCAACGACAGGUUUCUGUUCAUGCCAGUGAAGCUGUUUGAACUGAACUGAAUAGAGAGAGAGAGAGAGAGAGAGAGAGAGAGAGAGAGAGAGAGAGAGAGAGAGAGAGAGAGAGAGAGAGAGAGAGAGAGAGAGAGAGAGAGAGAGAGAGAGAGAGAGAGAGAGAGAGAGAGAGAGAGAGAGAGAGAGAGAGAGAGAGAGAGAGAGAGAGAGAGAGAGACUGUUCUGAGGCUGUAGUGUGAUUGUAAUGAACAAACAUGACACAUCCUCGCCCUAAACUAUAUUUACACAAGUACAAAGUUGAUCAUGAGAGUUUUACAUGAUCUAAAUCCCCUGACAGAGGACUGUUCUGCAGAGCUUCUUUCUCGUGUUCACUUUCAGCGCACGGAUGAAUCACUUGUAGUGAACCCGUCCCUCCUCAAAACCACUUCCCAUUUCUUCCUCACAGUUUUUUUUCUUUGGGAAACCUUCAAAAUGAAAACAGGAGAUUCUGUAGAGUUUACACAAAAACAUUUUACAAAGGAGGUCAAGCUCAUUUUCUCGCUGUUUCUGUAAUAGCAUUCUUGUGUCAGUUGUGUCAUACUUGUGUCAAAAUUCUAUGGAUUCUAUGGCAAUGAACAUAGCCUAGCUAGCUGGCUAUGAUUUUGCUGGUGGAAAUAAAUACAGUACCAUAAUAGUCGAUUCACAAAAUGCAACCAAUAGUUAUGUUCAAUCUUACUUGUGAAAAGUGAUCCCCUGAGCCCUUUUCUCGCAGCCCAGUGCUCUGACAUCUUGUUCCUUCUGCCUCUUCAUCAUAGAGCGUCUCUGGUAGAAUGACCGGUUCAAGAUGGCGGCCGCAUUCCUCGCACUGAAAGCUGUGUCUACUCUUUAUUAUGUCUCUGGUUUUUCACUUGGUUUCCAUGAGACCUCCUUGGUUUUAUUUUGUGGUUUUUAUGUUCUAGUUUAAGUUGUUUAUUUCCCGUUUAAAAUCAGUGUUAUGAUCGAUUUAACACACUGGGUUGUGUUGACGAUCUGUGGUCCAGCGUGUUUAUUUAAUCUAAUUACCCUCACACACUAAGUACUAAGAGUGGUGCAUGUAACAGCUCCCACUUUAAACCCUCCUCAUCCUUCAUUCUGGAUCCUGACACUAAGAUCGCCGCUUUGGGCGACUUAUUGACCCCCGUUGACCCCGACAACUCCACUCGAACCUGAGAAAGAGAAAGGAAGGGGGGCUGAGAGCCAAAUGUCCCAUCUACAAAUCGGGGUAAAAUGGCAUUAGCUGUCCUCACAGGGUCAGCCCAGCCAUUAGGCCGGGUCCCAAAUAUCCCCCAUCGCUCUUCCAAUUAAGCCGUCAAAGCGGGGCAGAUGGCUGUGACGCUAUCGGGGUGCCGAGCUGCCCUCAUGCCCGCAUCUCUCACCCUCUCCCAACCAUCCAUCACUGGAGGAGUCUAAUUAGCUUGUUAUUCUGCCAUGCUAACUAUUCCAGGCUUGUGAAAAGGCCUCCUUGGGUUUUGAAUGACAGGGAAAGCAUUGAGAGAGGGCGAAUGGGAGGAGGGGAGGGAAGCCAAUCACUGAGUGCAGAAUGGCAUUUGAAUAGCCUUUUCAGCACACUACAGCGGCAAUUAUAUUCCCCCGUCAGACUUCCUGCCAGGAUAUUUUUCUUUGUUGUUUCUUCAUCAGCACAGUGCCAUCAGUUGACAAGUUAAAGCUCCACACAAUGAGAGACCAAGUGAAAGAGGUCAAAGGCGUCGUUUCUUCUGUGCCAUCAGUGCGGAAAUGAAAACACAUUUUGGUGUUGGCGAAGGUCGAACAAUUUCCAUACCAAACACUCGCUGCGGGUUAAAGGAGUCAAACCCACUCUCCAUCUUUCCUGUGUGAGACGAAAAGUUCAGAGCAGGAAGUGAGAGUGACGUGAUCAGGAAGGAUGCGCCUUAUUGUAACCAAGAGGGUCAUAUAUUAUUUUAAGAGUUAGAUAAGUAAAUCAUAAAACAAUCCUGAAGCUUACAGAUUUCUCCAGAGGGUUUUGAGAUGGCACAGAAAGGAUACGGCAGAGCUGCUUCCAGAGAUGUCGAAGGAAAAUAUCACCACUAUUGUUUUAAUGAGAUAGAGACACACAGCGUGCAGUUGCCAUCGCUGCAGAUCUGCGUUCAGUGGUUUAUUCAUCACCAAAAAGUCAAAUCCACUCAUACUUAGAGACACUGAACUUGUAAGAGGAAAUUUGGCAGACCUUGAGUUCUGAUAAAAAGACUAAAUUGAACUCAGUUAACUUUUAAAGCACCAUUAAAGUUGUUAGCAUUGAAUUAAUUGCUUUAUAGAGGAAGUAAACAUUAACUAUGAUGUUAAAACUUGUUUAGAGUUUGGCAGCGGCCUUGUGAUCACGCUCAAGUUGUCUAUGAUAAUAAAAAUCUGCACGUAUUCAAACUUUUGUAACUUGGCACAUUAAUCUAUUUUUUUCACCACAUUAAAAAUGACAUGUUUACAUCAUUCCUAUAACUCACAAUAUAGAUGUCAACGUCAAACUUUAACCAAGAAGAACGACUCUAAGUUUGACCCUGAUCUCCUCAGACAUGACUUAUCCACUGAUCCAUUUUUCCUCUCAUCACGCUCUGGCUCUGGGUUGACGCAGCAGGUUGCCCCAUGCUGUUUAUUUUCCUCCCACCUUUCAUUAUCUCCGUCUGUUCCCCUGCGCUGUAACGCUGCCAAAAAACACAAUCUGCCCUCCUGCUCCACCAUCGUCUGAAGAGUCCUUGUCGGUCGGUCGACGGUCGGUCGGCCUCGGUCCCCAUGAGAGGUUUUUCUCUUCUUUCAGAGCUGCGGGACGCUUUCAAACGUUGUGGCAGGUCACAUGUAGCACCUGGAGGUUAGGAUAUAGACGCUGUCUUUGUUUACAUCCAUGAAGAUUUAGUGUUGUUUACCUUCUAUUCUAUUCUAUUAUAUUCUAUCUUUUUCUAUUCUAUUCCAUCAUAUUUUAUUCUACUAAACCUUUUUUAUUAUAUUCUAUUCUUUUCUAUUUUAUUCUAUUAUUUUCUAUUCUAAUCUAUCCUACUCUAAUCUGUGCUAUUCUAUUCUUUCUACCCUAUUUGAUUCUAUUCUUUUCUAUCCUUUUCUUUUAUUUUCUAUUCUAUCUUAUUCUUUUCUAUUGUAUUCUGUCCUUUUCUAUUCUACUCUGCUCUACCAUAUUCUGUUCUAUUUUUUUCUAUUCUAUUAUUUUUAUUCUAUCCUAUCCUAUUCUUUUCUAUUCUAUUAUUUAUGUUAUAUCCUACUCAAUUCUAUUUUAUUCAAAUCUAUUAUUGUCGAUUUUAACCUAUUCUAUUUUAGCCUUUUAUGUUCUAUACCAUCCUAGUCUAUCUUAUUUUAUUCUAUUAUUUUUUACUCUUUUCUAUUAUUUUCUAUUCUAUCUUAUUCUUUUCUAUUUUAUUCCAUCCUAUUCUAUUCUGCUCUACUCUACCAUAUUCUAUUCUGUUCUAUUCUAUUGUAACCUAUUCUUUUAUAACCUUUUAUAUUCUAUUCUAUCAUAUUCGAUUCUAUUGUAUUCUAUUGUAACUUUUUUUAUUCUAUUCUAUCCCUUUCUUUUUUAUACUAUUUUAUUCUAUUCUAUCAUAUUCUUUUAUAUUCUACUCUAGCCCAUUCUGUUCUAUUCUGUUCUGUUCUCCUCUAUUCUUUCCUAUCAUAUUCUAUUCUACACUCUUCUAUUCUAUUCUAAAACUGUCUGUAGAAGUUCCAACUGUUCACAUUGUUAUAAGUAUCAGGACUCAGAAAAGCCUGAGCAGAGUCCUGAGUCCCCCCCCUUCAGACAGUAUUAUGUGAGACCUCUUAUUUCUCUGCUGCUGUAGGCUGAUGUGAGUCUGUUUCAGUGUUUUGAACACACUAUCAGACUUUACUAGAUCCUUGCUGACUAACUGAGGCGUAAAACAAGCAGUAAGAACCACAGUUAUCCUCGCUGUUUCUGGACUGCCAGGAGGUAAUUGGAAAAUAUACAUUAAUACAUAUCAUACAUAUUAACUUUGAGUCCAUGUGCAGGAGUGUAGAUGUGGGGCAGGGGGACUAAUGGGGUCUCCAUACCCUGCUGCUGCCGGUGAAUGAAGUAGUAAGUUCUGCUAAUCAGGUCUAAUGAGCUGCCCAUUAAAUUUCAUACUGUACAGGCGAUCGGUCUGAAAUGAUCUCGACGGGUUCACGCUGUAAUUAUCCGCACAGGUCACACCGCUGUGUGAGAAACCCUACAGUGUGUCAUGAUUGUGUGUCUGUGUGAAUGGGACACCUUUCGCCUGCAGUCAUGAGGCAGGUGGUGCUGGUGCGGCGGUGCAGGUGUGCCACUCUGAAUUUCCUGUCCGCCCUCCAUCACAAACACUUGAGGCUUUUUCUGUUUUAUUUUAUUGCUUCUCCUGUUAUAUUAUCUCAAUUAAAAAAAGGUUAAUGGAAGACAAAGACGGGUUUGUGUGACAGGUGAACACUGACCUCAUGGUUCUGGCUUUCUGCUCCGAUUCCUGCCAAGAGCUCUUCACGCGUGGUUGAAAAGUAGAAGAGAAGGACUCGACUGAAUGCCUUUUUUUAUACGUAUUAAAAAAACUGGAGCGUGUGUGUAUUUAUACCCUCGUAAGCUGUCGGUGAAAAUUCUCCACAACAGCUCAGGGCAAGGUUGGACGUUUACAGGUCCUUAGGAUAUCCAUAGCUAUUAAAACGGAGCUGCAAUAACUUCAUGCCUCGUUAAUAGAAGUCAUUUACAUAUCUGAGAAUUUAUUUUCCAUACUGAGGAUAAAAUCAUUAAUGUAGAUAAUCUAACCAAGAAUCAUUGUUUAAUAAUUCCUCCAUUAAUCCAAAGGGGGUGUACCGAGGUAAAUUGUGACUGCAUAAACCUAAAAAAAAAAUAAGAAAGAUUUAUUUAACCCCCAAAAAAGACACAAGUAAGAACUGUUUUACAUUGUUAAAGGGACAUUCUGGUGUAAAAUUAAUUUAGGGUCAAACACACCGCAACACCGAGUUAGACACCCCCUCCAGAGAUGAAUGUUGUCGACCGCUUGCUUCUCUAGUUAUACCAACUUUAGUAACGACUGCAGGAUAGUAAUACAGAGAGCCACGCGCUCAACCAAAACGCCACUCUAUAGCCACAAAUAAUGCUCAGAACAGCACCUAACUUCAUCAACAGGACAUAUAGGGUCACAGACAUAGUACUAGACACCAAACAUCUUUUUAACUUUGACUCAUUUCUUUAACAAAGAGACUAAACACUUGUUUGACGCUUAUUUGUAGCGAGACCUCAGGCCAGUCCAUUACAGACUACAGCGGGGUGCUGCAGCUCAAGGAAGAACAUUUAUGAUCAUUUCUUUAUCAUUUCCUUGAAGUAAUAAUCAUCAUAUUAAUCAUUUUGCAGACGCGGUAGUUCUUCUGCCUUAGCGUCUCGGUCUGAUGUAUAUAAUUGUAUUUAUUAUCAUAAAUGUUGUUCCUUGAGCUGCGUCACUCCACUGUAGUACAUAAUGUACUGGCCUGAGGUCUCACUACAAACAAGUGGCUGCUGGAAGAGAGUAGGUGAGUUGUGUUUAGUCUCUUUGCUCAAAGUUAAAAAGAUGUUUGGUGUCUAGUACUAUGUCUGUGACCCUAUAUGUCCUGUUGAUGAAGUUAGGUGCUGUUCUGAGCAUUAUUUAUGGUUAUAGAGUGGCGUUUUGGUUGAGCGCGUGGCUCUCUGUCGUUACUAAAGUUGAUAUAACUAGAGAAGUAAGCAGUCGGCAACAUUCAUCUCUGGAGGGGGGGUCUAACUUGGUGUUAUGGUGUGUUUGACCCUAACUUACUUUAACGCUGGAAUAUCCCUUUUUAAAAUUGCUUUUUUUUUUUUUCUUAAUGCAACAUAAUGGAGUUUAAAUCAUGCAAUUAAAAUACAAUCAAUAGUGAUCAGCUACUACACUCUGCUAUUGAUUACAAUUGGAAAAAUCAAUUAUGUGACAGCCUUAAUUUGAAUAAACCAAUCAGCUGCUGUUUGCUAUUUCUGCCAACACUAGCUGAUGCAUGCACCUCAAAAGAGGAAGUAGGAAGUGAUUUCUGACAAAGCUGUCCCUCUUUUUUUUGUUUUUAAAGCAGGAAGUGACCAAAUUUGGACAAUUUGGACAAGUGGCCACAGGUGAUUUUCUAACUGUAGUUAGAAAGUCACCUGUGGCCUUAGAAAGCACCCUGAAGUAGACAUCUAGAAUAGAAAAAGAAGAAGGUAACCUUGUAAGUUUCAGUAGCAGAUUAAUUCAGAGACGGCGCGCUUGUUUUUGCUUUUUCCAUUAAGCUCCGUAUUUUAUUGAUGAGGCACUAAAAGAUGUUUCCUCUUUAUUUCCUUCCUUAUCUGUUUGUUUUUCUUCUUCCCUACUUUUUUAUUCAACUCUACCUCUCCAGACAGGUUUACAACUCCUUUUUACGUGUUUUCAUAUUGAUUGAUUUUUCACACCUUCAUGGUCUCAUUCAUCAGCCGUAAAUGAUGGAUGGAAAAUGAAACCAAAGAAGGCAGAAAUCUCCUGCCAAAAACGAGUCCAUCUCUUUGUUCCUGCAGAGUCCUCGCUGCAGCCAGAGCGUUUUUAUUGAUACACAAAACAGACAUCCUGCUCACAGUUAUUAAGACUGAGCCAGGGCUCUAUUGAUUGGUCUGACACCAGAUUCACAUUAGCUGCAGCUUGAUGGCGAGCUGAAUUAAAGAGAUUCAUACAAAAAUCGAUGUUCUCUUUGAUCAAAUCAGUGGACAAAGAGGACUUUAAACCUGUUUCUCUUAAAUGUCAACACGAGCCAGCCUUCACGUGUUUCAUUAUGAUGCAUCUUCAUCAUCAUCGUCGGGUAAUUGCGAGUCCUUUGCAUAAAUAAGUAGGUGUAAUUGAACCGCUGCAGCGAGCGAAGGGUUAACUCUGCAGCCCUAUACCAACACCUUACAAACCCACACCUUUCAAACUAGAGUUAUUGAUGCAACGCAUCUGAAAAUCUCUCAGCUCUCCAUCGCUCAGGCCCUCUAAGUGUUGGCAGUGUUGCUAUGACUCCCAACCACAGACCGUAUAAAACAAGAUGGUAGUAUUCAGCUCGUUUUAAGGUAGUAUCUAGCUUUGUCGAGCAGUGACCUUCAGCUCUUGCUGGGGCGGUUCGCGGCAGAGUGUGAAGUGGCUGGGAUGCGAAUCAGCACCUCCAAGUCCGAGGCCAUGGUCCUCAGUCGGAAAAAGGUAGAUUGCCUUCUCCGAGUCGGAGGGGAAGUCCUGCCUCAAGUGGAGGAGUUCAAGUAUCUCGGGAUCUUGUUGACGAGUGAGGGUAGGAUGGAGUGGGAGAUCAACAGGUGGAUCGAAACGGUGUCAGCAGUGAUGCGGACGCUUUACCGAUCAAGAAAGAGCUGAGUCGUAAGGUGAGACUCUCGAUUUACCGAUCUACGUGCCGAUCCUCACCUUUGGUCAUGAACUUUAAGUAAUGAUGGAAAGAACGAGAUUGGGGAUACAAGGUGGCUCGGGCAUCUGGUUAGGACGCCUUCUGGACGCCUCCCGUUAGAGGUGUUCUGGACAUGUCUCACCGGGAGGAGACCUCGUGGCCGGCCCAAGGCCAGGUGGAGGGAUUAUAUCUCUCGCCUGGCCUGGGAGCGCCUGGGAAUCCCCCCGGAGGAGCUGGUGGAAGUGGCCGAAGUGAAGGCCGUCUGGACUUCC
This 40094-nucleotide long non-coding RNA is filed under the name Xyrichtys novacula (pearly razorfish). Lineage: Eukaryota; Metazoa; Chordata; Actinopteri; Labriformes; Labridae. The record is from RNAcentral.